Molecule: ribosomal RNA, 483 nt
Filed under: Afroedura marleyi
Lineage: Eukaryota; Metazoa; Chordata; Lepidosauria; Squamata; Gekkonidae
Description: partial 16S ribosomal RNA
Rfam family: Bacterial large subunit ribosomal RNA
Source: RNAcentral
AACCGUGCAAAGGUAGCGUAAUCACUUGUCCCCUAAUUAGGGACUUGUAUGAAAGGUAUGAUGAGGGCCUAACUGUCUCUUGAGGUUAAUCAAUGAAACUGAUCUUUCAGUACAAAAGCUGAAAUACACACAUAAGACGAGAAGACCCUGUGGAGCUUCAAGCAACAUGCUACUCACACCGUUUACAUCUAGCCCUGCUAAACAAACGUCCUCCUAGUAUUAGCUUUAAGUUGGGGCGACUGCGGAGAAAAACGAAACCUCCAUGAAACUAACACCUGCCGCCAAACACACACGUUACGCAGCAUGCUAAAUGACCCAGCACAGCUGAUCACCGAACCAAGUUACCCCAGGGAUAACAGCGCCAUCCCCUUCAAGAGUCCAUAUCGCCAAGGGGGUUUACGACCUCGAUGUUGGAUCAGGACACCCAGAUGGUGUAGCCGCUAUCAAAAGUUCGUUUGUUCAACGAUUAAUGUCCUACGUGAU